RNAcentral lists this long non-coding RNA (228 nucleotides) under Anas platyrhynchos platyrhynchos (common mallard). RNAcentral's name for it is "lncRNA (ENSAPLG00000026310.1)". Lineage: Eukaryota; Metazoa; Chordata; Aves; Anseriformes; Anatidae. The record is from RNAcentral.
CGGCAGUGACCUGCAACUAUGGGAACGGUGGCUGCCAGCACACCUGCGAUGACACCGACCAGGGCCCCAAAUGUGGCUGCCACGUCAAGUUCCUGCUGCACUCCGACGGCGUGACCUGCAUCGGGGAGAGACACUUCCAGCAACACGUUAUCCUUGAGACGUUUUCUAAUGAAACGUGUGCCGUGAACAACGGAGGCUGCGACAGCAAGUGUCACGACGCGGCCACGG